This 301-nucleotide ribosomal RNA is filed under the name uncultured bacterium. RNAcentral's name for it is "partial 16S ribosomal RNA". It matches the Rfam family "Bacterial small subunit ribosomal RNA", at positions 509 to 809 of the family's 1533-position model. The record is from RNAcentral.
CAGCAGCCGCGGUAAUACGAAGGGUGCAAGCGUUAAUCGGAAUUACUGGGCGUAAAGCGUGCGUAGGCGGUUUGUUAAGUCUGUUGUGAAAUCCCCGGGCUCAACCUGGUAAUGGCAGUGGAUACUGGCAAGCUAGAGUGUGUCAGAGGAUGGUGGAAUUCCCGGUGUAGCGGUGAAAUGCGUAGAGAUCGGGAGGAACAUCAGUGGCGAAGGCGGCCAUCUGGGACAACACUGACGCUGAGGCACGAAAGCGUGGGGAGCAAACAGGAUUAGAUACCCGCGUAGUCCCUGUCUCUUAUAA